ACCUAGCCCUGAUUGCAGCGGCAUCCUUUUUUGAGGAGGAACGACGAAAAAAAGAUAGAGCGGAAAGCAGGUGUGAUC
This 78-nucleotide small RNA is filed under the name Kaistella antarctica. RNAcentral's name for it is "Chryseobacterium antarcticum Flavo-1 RNA". It matches the Rfam family "Flavo-1 RNA". The record is from RNAcentral. Lineage: Bacteria; Pseudomonadati; Bacteroidota; Flavobacteriia; Flavobacteriales; Weeksellaceae.